This 254-nucleotide ribosomal RNA is filed under the name uncultured bacterium. Its description in RNAcentral is "partial 16S ribosomal RNA". It matches the Rfam family "Bacterial small subunit ribosomal RNA", at positions 524 to 776 of the family's 1533-position model. The record is from RNAcentral.
UACGGAGGGUGCGAGCGUUGUCCGGAAUCAUUGGGCGUAAAGGGCGCGUAGGCGGUCAGCACAAGUCAGUUGUGAAAUCUCCGGGCUUAACUCGGAAAGGUCAACUGAUACUGUGCGACUAGAGUGCAGAAGGGGCAACUGGAAUUCUCGGUGUAGAGGUGAAAUUCGUAGAUAUCGAGAGGAACACCGGCGGCGAAGGCGGCCAUCUGGACGAGGACUGACGCUGAGAUGCGAAAGCGUGGGGAGCAAACAGG